Kogia breviceps (pygmy sperm whale) is the source of this 1414-nucleotide non-coding RNA. The record is from RefSeq and is a predicted model, not a curated record. NCBI's taxonomy places the organism in Eukaryota, Metazoa, Chordata, Mammalia, Artiodactyla, Physeteridae.
UAAGCUAUACUGUUCAAAGGAUGUGUUUGUUUUUAAGGACUUGUAUGUGCUAUAUCUUACCAUUUAAAAAAAAGAAUGAGAAAGAGGUAUUCAACAAAAACUUUUCUUAAGCAUGAUUAUGGUUGGUCAUAUCCUGUGCCAUCCCUGGAUGGACCCCGCUCAGAAGUCACUUUCUUACAAGGCCUUCGGGACCACUCAGACUAUACCAGCCCAACCUCAUCACUUUCAUUUCUUCGUAGCACUUCUCACCACACAACAUCGUGAUCAUUCACGUUUUACUUGGUAAUAGUCUAUCUCCUCCAUGGAGGAAAAAAGGAGAAUGGGAACUGAAGAAGUAGAUACAGAGGAGAUAAACAACUACUUCCAUAAUUUCUCUUUUCUGAGGGAGAAUAGAAAUGUAGCAGGAGAUGGACAAGGAGCCAAGGGAGAUCCUUUUCCUCUUCUUUUUUUAAGAUGAAUCCUGAUAAGACAUAGGAAAGCCUGGGAACCACUAUCUCCUGCAAUCUUCACCCAAGUAAGGGUCCAUUUCACAGGAACCACGUGCCCUGCUGAUUAACAACUCGGGCCACAGCAAGAGGUGGAUCUGGCCUCCAACCCCCUCUCCAUGACCAGCUGACUCUGGCCAGGAAGGACUCCGAGGAAGUCAACUUCUCUUCUAUGUGACAGUUACCUCCAAAUUGAGUUCCAAAUUCUGCAGAGCUGUUGAUCACACCGGGAGGCUGUUGGGGGAACUCAGCCUCCCCGAGUCCCUCUCAGAGCCUCUACUUACUGCUGGAAACCUCUUCCCAAGGGACGUCUCUCAUCUAAAGUCGUUUCUAUGAAGUCCAGAGAAUCUUCCUCAGGGGGAGCAACUUCUCCAUCCAGUGAAACAGAGGCUGCUGAUCCCAUAUUCCCAGUAUAAGAUCCCCAUACGUGACCCUCUGCCUUACGUGCAUGUGUCAGCCAUCAUUCAGCCAGCCAGCUUUAAGGGCAUGCUUGCCAAGCUACAUAGGCACUAAAGGGAGUGCAAAGGAAAUAUGAGGUCUGGGCCUUAAGGACCUAAGGACACACGAUAAAGACACUCAAUAGCUUACGUGACCUCAGACAAAUCACUUCACCAUUCUAACCUUCAGUUUCCUCAGUGUGAAACAGGGAUAGUAAUAACUCCCAAUGCGAGAGUUAUUGUGAGAAUUUAGUGAGAUGAUGCUAGCUGUUAUUAUAGAAGAUACUCACACACAGACACCCUUCUUCCUUGUUUUCAGAACCCCAAUUUUGUUCAAGAAAGCACUGUGCCUGCCCCAGACUCUGAAUUAAAAUUGGUAAUGAUAUGGUCACAAUAAUCCUAUUCCUCUGUUAGAUACUGACUUUCCCAGCUUCCGUUGUGCCUGGGAAUGUCUAUUUGACCUUGUUCUGGCCCAUGAGAGUUAAGAGAAGU